UUCAGGAUUGGAGGCCUGCCAAGGCAAAGAUACAAGGAUGGAUAGGAGAUGGCAGGAGUCAAAAGGUACUGCUUUUGCCAAUCACACCAGAUCAGCUUGCGCACGGGUGAUAAUGAUAGGCACUAGUCAAAAAAGUGAAUCACUUUCAACGUAGUGUUAGUGAUGAGGGCAGUCUGCCAUUUUUUUUCUCCCAUAGUUUAUCUCCUCUUUACCUGCUCCAUGGACUGGUCCCUCCUACACAAAAAUAACCGAACUAUUUGCAAUUUGUCAUCUAAAAAGGUGAUGCUAGACUGCACUGCUCAUGUAACAUUUGAUUGAUACAAAUAUGAACAAACAUUUUCCCACCUUUGCAUACAUGUGUGAGCUUUCAAAAGCUAAAAAAGUGAAGUGUAAACAAUUUUAGUACAUAUUAACCUACUACUAAUUUCAACCUCUAUCUCUCUUGACAUGUUUAUUCAACAAAUGAUGACCAUAUACACUAUACAUAUGCAAGGAUGCCGCUUUCUAUGAGAUGUAUUCCUAAUUGGUUCUUGACAAUAAGGUCUUCGAAACCGGAAAGUUCAUGGAACCAUGGAAGAACUCCAUAAUCACUUUGACCCACAUCUCAGAAUAAGGCAAACUAAGUUUAGCUGUGGAAAGAAAUUCGUUGUCUAAUGACUCCAUAAUUUCCAUUGAAGAAGGAUCAAUAGCUACAAUUCCCUUACUCCAUAAUNNNN
This 716-nucleotide long non-coding RNA is filed under the name Populus trichocarpa (black cottonwood). RNAcentral's name for it is "long non-coding RNA (PTRI_LNC004125)". The record is from RNAcentral. Lineage: Eukaryota; Viridiplantae; Streptophyta; Magnoliopsida; Malpighiales; Salicaceae.